RNAcentral lists this ribosomal RNA (429 nucleotides) under Chloroflexota bacterium. RNAcentral describes it as "Chloroflexi bacterium partial 16S ribosomal RNA". It matches the Rfam family "Bacterial small subunit ribosomal RNA", at positions 355 to 776 of the family's 1533-position model. Lineage: Bacteria; Bacillati; Chloroflexota. The record is from RNAcentral.
UGGGGAAUAUUGCACAAUGGGCGCAAGCCUGAUGCAGCCAUGCCGCGUGUAUGAAGAAGGCCUUCGGGUUGUAAAGUACUUUCAGCGGGGAGGAAGGGAGUAAAGUUAAUACCUUUGCUCAUUGACGUUACCCGCAGAAGAAGCACCGGCUAACUCCGGGCCAGCAGCCGCGGUAAUACGGAGGGUGCAAGCGUUAAUCGGAAUUACUGGGCGUAAAGCGCACGCAGGCGGUUUGUUAAGUCAGAUGUGAAAUCCCCGGGCUCAACCUGGGAACUGCAUCUGAUACUGGCAAGCUUGAGUCUCGUAGAGGGGGGUAGAAUUCCAUGUGUAGCGGUGAAAUGCGUAGAGAUGUGGAGGAAUACCGGUGGCGAAGGCGGCCCCCUGGACAAAGACUGACGCUCAGGUGCGAAAGCGUGGGGAGCAAACAGG